GGGCAGCCAUCGCCGAGUCCCCGUCAGGCGCGAGCCUGGGGAGCCGGGGACCCACGCAGUCCCUGGGGUGAAUCGGCCGCCUUCGCCCGUGCGGAGGGGGCCGUAGGAGACCUUCCUGCUCCGAACCCGUCAGCUAACCCGGUAGGCGAGAAGGAAGGAAAG
RNAcentral lists this small RNA (162 nucleotides) under Streptomyces pristinaespiralis. RNAcentral describes it as "c-di-AMP sequence". It matches the Rfam family "c-di-AMP riboswitch aptamer (ydaO/yuaA leader)". From Rfam's summary of the family: This family represents a conserved RNA structure found upstream of the ydaO and yuaA genes in Bacillus subtilis and related genes in other bacteria. The ydaO/yuaA element is thought to act as a genetic "off" switch for the ydaO and yuaA genes in its native state. It is believed that the element may be triggered during osmotic shock leading to activation of ydaO, a predicted amino acid transporter gene, and members of the yuaA-yubG operon which code for KtrA and KtrB K+ transporters. Lineage: Bacteria; Bacillati; Actinomycetota; Actinomycetes; Kitasatosporales; Streptomycetaceae. RNAcentral also lists the same sequence under 1 other name. The record is from RNAcentral.